CUGACUGACCGAUAGUGAACCAGUACCGUGAGGGAAAGGCGAAAAGAACCCCGGCGAGGGGAGUGAAAAAGAACCUGAAACCGUGUACGUACAAGCAGUGGGAGCACGCUUAGGCGUGUGACUGCGUACCUUUUGUAUAAUGGGUCAGCGACUUAUAUUCUGUAGCAAGGUUAACCGAAUAGGGGAGCCGAAGGGAAACCGAGUCUUAACUGGGCGUUAAGUUGCAGGGUAUAGACCCGAAACCCGGUGAUCUAGCCAUGGGCAGGUUGAAGGUUGGGUAACACUAACUGGAGGACCGAACCGACUAAUGUUGAAAAAUUAGCGGAUGACUUGUGGCUGGGGGUGAAAGGCCAAUCAAACCGGGAGAUAGCUGGUUCUCCCCGAAAGCUAUUUAGGUAGCGCCUCGUGAAUUCAUCUCCGGGGGUAGAGCACUGUUUCGGCAAGGGGGUCAUCCCGACUUACCAACCCGAUGCAAACUGCGAAUACCGGAGAAUGUUAUCACGGGAGACACACGGCGGGUGCUAACGUCCGUCGUGAAGAGGGAAACAACCCAGACCGCCAGCUAAGGUCCCAAAGUCAUGGUUAAGUGGGAAACGAUGUGGGAAGGCCCAGACAGCCAGGAUGUUGGCUUAGAAGCAGCCAUCAUUUAAAGAAAGCGUAAUAGCUCACUGGUCGAGUCGGCCUGCGCGGAAGAUGUAACGGGGCUAAACCAUGCAC
RNAcentral lists this ribosomal RNA (717 nucleotides) under Escherichia coli. RNAcentral describes it as "partial 23S ribosomal RNA". It matches the Rfam family "Bacterial large subunit ribosomal RNA", at positions 476 to 1194 of the family's 2925-position model. Lineage: Bacteria; Pseudomonadati; Pseudomonadota; Gammaproteobacteria; Enterobacterales; Enterobacteriaceae. The record is from RNAcentral.